RNAcentral lists this long non-coding RNA (493 nucleotides) under Trifolium pratense (red clover). RNAcentral's name for it is "long non-coding RNA (TPRA_LNC008320)". The record is from RNAcentral. Lineage: Eukaryota; Viridiplantae; Streptophyta; Magnoliopsida; Fabales; Fabaceae.
UGAAAUAAAUAUUUCUUUUUCACCAUUUUGAUCGGGUGCAUUAUUUCCCAUUCAUUCCAAUUCAAUUGUCUUAAUACCAUAUAAUUAACCUAUUAAUCAUCAACCAUUAUAUUCAUACCAUAAUUACCUUUAACCUAUUAUUAUUGGUUUCAAUGUUAUGCCAUGCGUUUUUAGUUACAUCAGUGACAAGGCAAUAUAUAUGCAACGGUAGAUAACCAAGUCUAUGAAACCAAACUCCUAUUUCAUCAAUUUGGUCGUAUAUAGUCAGUUUAGCCAUUCCUAUUAAUUUUAGUUUUCAUUCCAACUAAAAGACUACCACGCACAUUUUCCACCAAUUAUUCCAAGUUCUAUAAAUUUCUUCUCUCAUAAUUUCAAGUGAUCGUCAAGCUUUGAUUUCGUGAGCAUCGUUUCGUGGGCUUUAGAGUUUCUUCAAUUAGGAAGUAAAGCGCCUAUAAGGUAAGGGCUUUUUCCCCAUACAUCCAUGCUACAUAGG